CUUUAAGGGCCCCACUAUACCCAUACCAAGUCUCUCAGAUGGUGCUUCCAUGAUGGGUAGAGGCUGCAACAUUGCCUGAGGCACUCUGCGUGAGGAGGUAAGUUUGACAAAUUUCACAUGAACUGCAAAAUUUUGAGAUGUCAUUAUACAUGCCUGGCCAAACAAACCUGCUGGCAAUCCUACGCAAGGUCUUCUGGCCAGCCCAAGGAACAGAAUGUCCCAACUCCAUUACCUUGGAUCUGAACUGUUUAGGCAAAGCCAAAGUUUCUACUGUCCCCUUACUCUGGUACAGUGCCGUUCGUAAUGACAUAUGUUGCAUCCUCUAAACAUCCUAAGCUACCUUGAUUUACUCCCUCAACCUCUAUCACCUUGCUUAACCAGGGUUUCAGGGUAACAUCCUCUUUCUGUAACUUUGCUACAUCAGAAGGGAGAUUUGGCUCAACUGGCUAAAGAGAAAUGUUUAAACUUUCCAGUUUGCAUCUUUGUGGUCAUCCUCAUCACUUUACGCAGGCAAACUCCUGACACCAAUUGUGGCGCCGAGGGCACUUGUCAGGAUAACCCUCAUGCGCUCCGGAAGAAAAAGUGAUACUGAGCAGGCCAAUGUCCAGUGCAGACCCAAGUGCAUUUAUUUACAUUUUUUACAAAUUAAAAACUAGGCAGCAAAAAUCCAUGCAUGCCGCUCCAUCCAUCUCUCAGCCCUCUCCAACAAACACAGAGCUGUAUUUAUAACAGGUGUGACUACCAUAUUUUCCGCACCAUAAGGUUCACCUGAUUAUACGGCACACAGCCAAUCAGCGUCCUACUUAAAGGUUUGGUCCACACAUAAGACUCAUUGGAUCAAAACACGCACCCAACAAAGCAAAUGAGCGUCCCGGUCGGCACAAUUAAGGCAAAUUGGGCAAUUAGAUCAAAGUCAAAUGUAACUCCAAUCAUUAUCUAUACUAAAAAAUUAAUUUCUCAUUAUUGAAGUAACAUUUAGUCCCAAUUUAAUGCACGGGUGCUUUUAGCAGCAAGAAUGAAGAUUUAAACUCUGGCAACAGCAUGACUGACUGAACGCAGCGCCAAGCCCCUCUCACCGCUGCAGGAGCUGAGUCGGCCAGAGAUAAAUCAUCAUGUGCAGCCACUGUCAUACUGCCAUAGAGUAUCACAGCUAUAGGUCACAAGUAAUGAGAGUAAAACUAAAGAGCUCUAAGCAAUUUAUUUAUCCAGUUACCCUCUAUCUGAUCCAUUACAGUGGCUGUAAUGACCUGGGAGCCGAGCAGAAAAGUCUUACUCCACCUAGUAGUGCAUAAUUGGUACAAUAAGCCAAACGAAGAAGUUAGAUCAAAAUCAAACUUUAUUCCUCUCAUUCACAAUAGGGGGUACUGCGCUGAGCCAGAGUUACCGGUACCUUAAUACAUGUAUAAAAGGCGCAUCCAUUUUAAAAUGCGCACUGCCGGUUCAGGGGAAGAUCAAACGUUUUUAAUAGUGCCUUAUGGUGUGGAAAAUACGAUAAUUGGACUAAUCCUAAAACCCAGACACAGGUAAGUACAAAAAUACAAUCUUUCAAUAUUCUUAAAUUAUCCUUAAAUCAUCAUCUAUAAGAUUUCUUUAAUAAAUUACAAUACAAAAAUUGAAAUAUCCUUAAUCAAUCCUAAAAACAUUCAGUGAAACUAAUCUGCAUUCCUAGAGCAGUUUCACAGGUCAUCCCUCCUAUUCAUCCUGAAUGGAAUGCUCCAGAGCCUUAAGUGCUCCAGCUCCCCGGGGACUCUUUUAGCUGGAACACCUCCAGAAGCACAAAGGAAACAGGUCUAAACUCUUCACCCUUUUUAAAUAAACAUUAAAACAAUUGUUAUUGUGUCUGGUUUCAUAAAACCAUAACAAAAGCCUGUGUAAUGGUAUUGCUACAUUACAGUCCUUCAAACAUGCAAAACAACAGAAUUAUUGGCUAAAUGUGUUGUUUCUUGCCACACACUUCCGUGAUGCAAUGCAAGAAACAUAAACACUGACGUCAAAAAAGAUCCUCCAAUAGGUCCAACAUCAAUUUUUAGACACUUCCACUCACAUCAUCAAUUAUGUCAGUGUAAUUUUUCGUGGACUCUUAGAAUUAAAUGUUAUCCAACCAAUCAUCAGAGUUCAGGGUAGUCACAGUUCACGCCAUGGCACUAUUCCACCAAUCAGCAUGGAGUUUACCUGGCGUUACCGGCUACACCACAUGUAAAGUGGAUGGGGAAAAAUGUAAGCUUCAACUCGGCAAAGGCAGCGGAAAAGUUCUUCAGCGACGAGGAUGAGCAGGAGGAGAGGGCGCAGGGUGGGGAGAUCCCAAAAUCGACUGAUUGAUGACGUAAACUCGAGGAGCCUAAGACACCUUGUGUUUGACUGUCGGAGGGGGGCAGAUCUCAUCAUCUGUCAUCGCAGGAGGGGAGAAGCGGAGCAGCGUCCUACGGACCCGAUAAGGUUUUAGUUUGGGCUCCUUUUUUAAUUAAAAAAAAGCUCACCACCUUCCCCGCUGUUCAUGGAACUUGGACUCUGGACUAACGCCUUACGGCACCCUACUCACUGAACUUACCAGUGCAUCUUUAGUUCCCGUUUUCAUAAUAAAAUACUUUAUUUUUACUUCCCCCGAGUUGUCGUGUUGAUUCUGCUUGUCUUGGGUUAGAUGCCUCCCGCAAGUAAAUCUGAAAUGCUUGUCACCAGCAUUCAGACAUCAAUUCUGUUUGCUUCACAGCCAGACAGGACAGGGAAAAAAAGAAAGGAAAAAAAAGACUAAUCUGCUCUAGAAAUAUCCAGAGCCGUCAUUUUCUGUAAAAUAAUAUGAAAGUACAGGUGCUGCUAUGUUGUUGUAACUCCUGUACAGUGUUUAAAGAUGAUACUCAGUCACAGCACUGUGAUGUCAGUCAGUGUUUGUACUAAUAACACUUUGUAAUAAUUGCUUUAGCAAAUUUUUUUAAAAUUGCCUGAAUUUCUGUGUUACUCAAAAGGAUUUAUAUAGCCAAGAAACUCACUAACUGUGCUCAAAUAUUAUUAUUUUAAAAGUAUGUGGGUUAUAUAAAUUAUUUUAUUUAUUACUUUUAAAAAAAACUUCUGUUGGUGGUAGUUUAAAAAAUCAGCCAUUGAUCUAAAAUCAAUGAGGUUCACAUAUUUGGAAAUCCUGUAUGUAAAACAAUCCUUUCAAAAAAGGAAAAACUGUCGGAUGUUUGAUGAGUUUUGAUGGCAUAAAGUUUAAUUUGAACCAACUGUCGUCAGAGGGAUGAGUAUCUUCUCUGUUAACAACAGAAUAAAGUUUUGUGUUUAAACUCUUGCUG
This is a non-coding RNA of Nothobranchius furzeri (turquoise killifish), 3284 nucleotides long. The record is from RefSeq and is a predicted model, not a curated record. Lineage: Eukaryota; Metazoa; Chordata; Actinopteri; Cyprinodontiformes; Nothobranchiidae.